RNAcentral lists this ribosomal RNA (500 nucleotides) under uncultured bacterium. RNAcentral describes it as "bacterial SSU rRNA". It matches the Rfam family "Bacterial small subunit ribosomal RNA", at positions 8 to 518 of the family's 1533-position model. The record is from RNAcentral.
AGAGUUUGAUUCUGGCUCAGGAUGAACGCUGGCGGCGUGCCUAACACAUGCAAGUCGAGCGGAGAUAGAUGGAAGCCUAGCGAUGUCUGUCUUAGCGGCGGAUGGGUGAGUAACACGUGGGUAACCUGCCCUGUACUGGGGGAUAACAGCUGGAAACGGCUGUUAAUACCGCAUAUGCGCACGGAGCCGCAUGGCCCCGGGCGGAAAGAUUCAUCGGUACAGGAUGGGCCCGCGCCGGAUUAACUUGUUGGCGGGGUAACGGCCCACCAAGGUGAUGAUCCGUAGCCGACCUGAGAGGGUGACCGGCCACAUUGGGACUGAGACACGGCCCAAACUCCUACGGGAGGCAGCAGUGGGGGAUAUUGCACAAUGGGGGAAACCCUGAUGCAAGCGACGCCGCGUGAAGGAUGACGUAUUUCGGUAUGUAAACUUCUAUCAGCGGGGAAGAAGAUGACGGUACCCGCACAAGAAGCCCCGGCUAACUACGUGCCAGCAGCUGC